GAGUUUGAUCCUGGCUCAGAUUGAACGCUGGCGGCAGGCCUAACACAUGCAAGUCGAGCGGUAGAGAGAAGCUUGCUUCUCUUGAGAGCGGCGGACGGGUGAGUAAUGCCUAGGAAUCUGCCUGGUAGUGGGGGAUAACGCUCGGAAACGGACGCUAAUACCGCAUACGUCCUACGGGAGAAAGCAGGGGACCUUCGGGCCUUGCGCUAUCAGAUGAGCCUAGGUCGGAUUAGCUAGUUGGUGAGGUAAUGGCUCACCAAGGCGACGAUCCGUAACUGGUCUGAGAGGAUGAUCAGUCACACUGGAACUGAGACACGGUCCAGACUCCUACGGGAGGCAGCAGUGGGGAAUAUUGGACAAUGGGCGAAAGCCUGAUCCAGCCAUGCCGCGUGUGUGAAGAAGGUCUUCGGAUUGUAAAGCACUUUAAGUUGGGAGGAAGGGCAGUAAAUUAAUACUUUGCUGUUUUGACGUUACCGACAGAAUAAGCACCGGCUAACUCUGUGCCAGCCG
This 510-nucleotide ribosomal RNA is filed under the name uncultured bacterium. RNAcentral describes it as "bacterial SSU rRNA". It matches the Rfam family "Bacterial small subunit ribosomal RNA", at positions 9 to 514 of the family's 1533-position model. The record is from RNAcentral.